CAGUACAACUGAGCCGGAUCCUCUUUUAGAAGCUGUAUGUGUGACGUAAGUAUGUGAAGAUGCGUGACGUGGCCAGAAGAACUCCUGUGAAAAGCAACCCGACAGCCCAGUUUUAAGAAUGAAUAUAUUAAGCUUAGACACAAUAUUUUGUCCCUUCUCCACUCAGUAAUGCUUCUGCUUUCAGUUUAAAGACAAAAUAAUAUGAAAAGCCACUUUAACCAAGUAACCCUCUCUGCAGUCAAAUAUAUCUUUAUUUCAGCGUCCAGGUCAAGCUAGGCGUACAAUGUUACACUGUAAUGUUAUGCAAUAUGUAAAGCUUCCUUAGAUGCUGUUGUGUAAAAUGCUAGCUAUUUUGUGGCUUAGGAAUAUUGUAACUUCAGCUGAAUGAUGUUUAAAUUUUGCCUGGUUUGUUUUGCAGUGCGAACAGCUGCAGCUGAAACUGAUUCAGGAGAAAGAUCUUAACGACAAGUUGGAGUGUGAGAAAGUCAUCCUGGAGAGACAGAUCCGAGAGCUGAACAGUGAGAUUGAAGAGAUGCAGAAUAACAAAGUUCAUGAACAUGUGAUCACGAAAGCAGAGACCAGAGCUAAAGAGCUGGAGAACGCACUCAGAGCUGAGGAGAGGAGUAAAGUGGCACUAAACAACACCAUCAGUAAGCUGGAGAGGAAGAUCAGCGAGCUGACUGAACAGCUGGAUGAGGAGCACAGGAUCUCCAACGAGCACAAAGAUCUGAUGACUCAGCGAAUGCGUUCCCUGAAGAGGCAGCUGAACGAGGCAGAGGAGCAGACAAGUCGCAGAGAGAGUCAGUACCGACACACACAGAGAGAGCUGACCGAGGAGAGAGAGGCCAGUGCUCGCUUACAGAAACAACUACUGGACAUUCAGCUGCUGAUGAAGCGGAAGGACUCAAUUAUGGUGAGGCAGACUCUGGAUAACCUCAAACUGGACCUGAGUGUGGACGAAGAGGAUGAGCCUGAACCCACACAGACCAGCUCAGUCCAGAACUGAGAUCAGUAGAGACUUUUUAGCCUAGAACCAAUGAAUGUACGACAGCCGGCUUCAGCUUACUCCAGGAAGCCCACGGAGACUCUGUGGAAAUACAGACUGCAGUAAAUUUACAGGAUACACACCUAAAAUUGAUGGAGAUUCUUCUCCAAAGAAAAAAAAACAGAAUACUGUUGCCCACAUAAGCCUGGAGAACAUGAGAAAAACACCACUUCAGAAACCCAUUAGAGACCCUAACCACUGUCACACCAGAGUGUUUAUGACAUUUUUUAAAAAGCAAGGUCUUUUUUAUUUGCCAGGAUGUGCAUGUAGCAAUCUUUUGGGGUGACAGAUUGGGUUCACUUGGGGGAUUAUUAUUAUUUUUAUACAUAAAUAUAUAAUAGACUUUUAAAUGUACAGUGUUUGAAGUACAAAUAAGCUUACUUGGUACAGAUAAUGUCAACUCAAAGGUUUUUAUGCAGGUGGAAGGUAAAAUAUUUCUCUUACACUUACCAU
This 1498-nucleotide long non-coding RNA is filed under the name Astyanax mexicanus (Mexican tetra). Its description in RNAcentral is "lncRNA (ENSAMXG00005001022.1)". Lineage: Eukaryota; Metazoa; Chordata; Actinopteri; Characiformes; Acestrorhamphidae. The record is from RNAcentral.